UAGAGUUUGAUCCUGGCUCAGAUUGAACGCUGGCGGCAUGCCUUACACAUGCAAGUCGAACGACGCUAGGGGCAACUCUAGCGAGUGGCGUACGGGUGAGUAAUGCAUCGGAACGUAUCCUCUUGUGGGGGAUAACCAGUCGAAAGAUUGGCUAAUACCGCAUGAGCUCGAGAGAGGAAAGCGGGGGAUCCGCAAGGACCUCGCGCAGGAGGAGCGGCCGAUGCCCGAUUAGCUAGUUGGUGGGGUAAAAGCCCACCAAGGCGACGAUCGGUAGCUGGUCUGAGAGGACGACCAGCCACACUGGGACUGAGACACGGCCCAGACUCCUACGGGAGGCAGCAGUGGGGAAUUUUGGACAAUGGGGGCAACCCUGAUCCAGCCAUGCCGCGUGUGUGAAGAAGGCCUUCGGGUUGUAAAGCACUUUCGGACGGAACGAAAUCGCGCGGGUGAACAAUCCGCGUGGAUGACGGUACCGUAAGAAGAAGCACCGGCUAACUACGUGCCAGCAGCCCCGGUCAA
This 519-nucleotide ribosomal RNA is filed under the name uncultured bacterium. RNAcentral's name for it is "bacterial SSU rRNA". It matches the Rfam family "Bacterial small subunit ribosomal RNA", at positions 1 to 524 of the family's 1533-position model. The record is from RNAcentral.